Molecule: long non-coding RNA, 565 nt
Organism: Haliotis rubra (blacklip abalone)
Lineage: Eukaryota; Metazoa; Mollusca; Gastropoda; Lepetellida; Haliotidae
Exons: 2
Source: RefSeq, a predicted model, not a curated record
CUGCAUAAUUCAUUUGGUUAAAUAAUAAAUCUCUCGUGAUACUGCUAACGCGGAUUGAAUAGCGGAGAGAAUAGUGCUCUGAAACAGAUGUUGAUACAAUAUAGGUCCAUAUAAACUGAAGCUGAUACCUACUCCAUGCUCGCGAUGUUCAUUGACAAUACAAAUGUUCUGAUUUCCAACUUAUUUCGGUAAUAUGUAUGCAUUGAUGAAACAUGGUGGAUAUAAAAUAACCUCUUUAAAACGCCACGAUUGUGAUUAUGUGUUGACUAGGUUCAGAACCAGAUUGGCCUUAUGAUGAAUGAUGGAUGCAACGCUUUUGUAAACAUUAUUCCAUUGGUACAGUGAUGACAUUCUUGAUCGGAUGUUGGCAUGAGCAAAUACACGUAAGUUUCCAUAGUCUUCAUACUGUUUCUCGCUUGAGUAAGUCGGAGUAAAAUUUUGAAAACACCAGUGGUGUGAAAUGGGGUGAUGGGAACAUCGGACUGUCAAGACGAUGAACAUGUGUCCCUAGAGACGUUAGAUGGGUUACAUUAUACAUAUAUAUGCCAUGGACAAAUACCUUACU